RNAcentral lists this ribosomal RNA (469 nucleotides) under uncultured bacterium. RNAcentral describes it as "partial 16S ribosomal RNA". It matches the Rfam family "Bacterial small subunit ribosomal RNA", at positions 28 to 507 of the family's 1533-position model. The record is from RNAcentral.
GACGAACGCUGGCGGCGUGCUUAACACAUGCAAGUCGAACGGAAAGGCCCUGCUUGCCGGGUGCUCGAGUGGCGAACGGGUGAGUAACACGUGGGUGAUCUGCCCCUUACUUUGGGAUAAGCCUGGGAAACUGGGUCUAAUACUGGAUAGGACCAUGCUGUAGGCGGUGUGGUGGAAAGAUUAGUUUCGGUAAGGGAUGAGCUCGCGGCCUAUCAGCUUGUUGGUGGGGUAAUGGCCUACCAAGGCGUCGACGGGUAGCCGGCCUGAGAGGGUGGACGGCCACAUUGGGACUGAGAUACGGCCCAGACUCCUACGGGAGGCAGCAGUGGGGAAUAUUGCACAAUGGGCGCAAGCCUGAUGCAGCGACGCCGCGUGGGGGGUGACGGCCUUCGGGUUGUAAACUCCUUUCAGCCAUGACGAAGCCCUUGUGGUGACGGUAGUGGUAGAAGAAGCACCGGCUAACUACGUG